Molecule: long non-coding RNA, 274 nt
Organism: Maylandia zebra (zebra mbuna)
Lineage: Eukaryota; Metazoa; Chordata; Actinopteri; Cichliformes; Cichlidae
Source: RefSeq, a predicted model, not a curated record
AGAAUAUAAGCCAUUUGCAGCGUGUCGUCUCACUGUGUUUUCAGCCCUGACUUGUACAGUAAAGCAACUCCUACUCCAUUCACCAGGCAGGGAUGGCAGGAUCAGCCUUAUCCAGAAACAGAGGACUGAUUUUUUUCAUCUUCUCUCUGCUGUCAUUGGUUUAUGUUACAAAUUCACUGAGCAAUAAGGAACUUUUGAAACUCAAAGAACAACUUCGGAAACUAGAAGAAAGAGCAGCCAGAAUGAAGGCAGACUACGAGUACAGUAAAGCAAC